Molecule: unclassified non-coding RNA, 140 nt
Filed under: uncultured Gliocephalotrichum
Lineage: Eukaryota; Fungi; Ascomycota; Sordariomycetes; Hypocreales; Nectriaceae
Description: sequence contains ITS1
Source: RNAcentral
CCGAGUUUACAACUCCCAAACCCAUGUGAAUCUUACCUUUACGUUCCCUCGGCGGCGUUCCCCUCGGGGUUCCCGCCAGAGGACCAAACAAACCCUUUGCAUUUAUUAGUAUUAUUCUGAGUGAUAUUAUCAAUAAAUCA